GAUGAACGCUGGCGGCGUGCCUAAUACAUGCAAGUCGAGCGAACAGACGAGGAGCUUGCUCCUCUGACGUUAGCGGCGGACGGGUGAGUAACACGUGGAUAACCUACCUAUAAGACUGGGAUAACUUCGGGAAACCGGAGCUAAUACCGGAUAAUAUAUUGAACCGCAUGGUUCAAUAGUGAAAGACGGUUUUGCUGUCACUUAUAGAUGGAUCCGCGCCGCAUUAGCUAGUUGGUAAGGUAACGGCUUACCAAGGCAACGAUGCGUAGCCGACCUGAGAGGGGGAUCCGCCACACUGGAACUGAGACACGGUCCAGACUCCUACGGGAGGCAGCAGUAGGGAAUCUUCCGCAAUGGGCGAAAGCUUGACGGAGCAACGCCGCGUGAGUGAUGAAGGUCUUCGGAUCGUAAAACUCUGUUAUUAGGGAAGAACAAAUGUGUAAGUAACUAUGCACGUCUUGACGGUACCUAAUCAGAAAGCCACGGCUAACUACGUG
This 497-nucleotide ribosomal RNA is filed under the name uncultured bacterium. RNAcentral's name for it is "partial 16S ribosomal RNA". It matches the Rfam family "Bacterial small subunit ribosomal RNA", at positions 28 to 507 of the family's 1533-position model. The record is from RNAcentral.